This 99-nucleotide non-coding RNA is filed under the name Acholeplasma laidlawii. RNAcentral describes it as "SAM-I sequence". It matches the Rfam family "SAM riboswitch aptamer (S box leader)". From Rfam's summary of the family: The SAM riboswitch is found upstream of a number of genes which code for proteins involved in methionine or cysteine biosynthesis in Gram-positive bacteria. The SAM riboswitch acts at the level of transcription termination control. The predicted structure consists of a complex stem-loop region followed by a single stem loop terminator region. The record is from RNAcentral. RNAcentral also lists the same sequence under 1 other name. Lineage: Bacteria; Bacillati; Mycoplasmatota; Mollicutes; Acholeplasmatales; Acholeplasmataceae.
AACUUAUUCAGAGCAGGUGAGGUGAUCAGUCCUUUGACCCUGCAGCAACCUACUUAAAUUAGGUGCUCAACUGACAGGGGGCUAACCCACCAAUAAGGA